This 111-nucleotide ribosomal RNA is filed under the name Convolvulus boissieri subsp. compactus. RNAcentral describes it as "partial 5.8S ribosomal RNA". It matches the Rfam family "5.8S ribosomal RNA", at positions 49 to 154 of the family's 154-position model. From Rfam's summary of the family: 5.8S ribosomal RNA (5.8S rRNA) is a component of the large subunit of the eukaryotic ribosome. It is transcribed by RNA polymerase I as part of the 45S precursor that also contains 18S and 28S rRNA. Lineage: Eukaryota; Viridiplantae; Streptophyta; Magnoliopsida; Solanales; Convolvulaceae. The record is from RNAcentral.
CGAAAUGCGAUACUUGGUGUGAAUUGCAGAAUCCCGUGAACCAUCGAGUCUUUGAACGCAAGUUGCGCCCGAAGCCGUCAGGCCGAGGGCACGUCUGCCUGGGCGUCACGC